RNAcentral lists this small RNA (67 nucleotides) under Flavobacterium limicola. Its description in RNAcentral is "Flavo-1 RNA". The record is from RNAcentral. Lineage: Bacteria; Pseudomonadati; Bacteroidota; Flavobacteriia; Flavobacteriales; Flavobacteriaceae.
CCUUAGCCCAGAUGGAAACGGCAUCCCACGAUUUUUGGCGUGGAUACAGUGUAUAGUUUGAAAUAGU